CCAAGUCCACAGAACUCAGUGGAGCCCCAGCCCUACCUCGGCUACCCUCAGCUGAGAACAGCUUCAGUUUGGGCGUACAGUCCUCUUUGUGUGCUGGACCUUCUGCCUCUGAAAAUCUUUUUUUCCUUAUAUAUCCUUAAGUUUUUUCAAUUUUUUUUUUUUUUUCCCCAAAGGACUGAACUUGAAAGCAGCAGUUUGGGGUUCAGACCUGGGCUUGGCCACGUAAUGGUUAGCACCUGACAAAUGCUUCCUCCUCCUCACCUGCUUCCAGACUUUCAUCCCCCACAGACGGAAGUGGGGCACCGGUUCCGCAUCAGGAUGAUAGGCAGCCAGCAGGCCUGGCUUCCCAGGCCUCGACGCCACCCCUCUGCCACGGCUCCUCGGCUGACAAUCAGGAUGAGAGGGCAUCUGCAUACUGGCUGCUGGACCCUCUUCCCGCCGACCAUUAAAAGACUUGACCAAGA
This is a non-coding RNA of Odocoileus virginianus texanus, 464 nucleotides long. The record is from RefSeq and is a predicted model, not a curated record. NCBI's taxonomy places the organism in Eukaryota, Metazoa, Chordata, Mammalia, Artiodactyla, Cervidae.